GAUGAACGCUGGCGGCGUGCCUAAUACAUGCAAGUCGAGCGAACAGACGAGGAGCUUGCUCCUCUGACGUUAGCGGCGGACGGGUGAGUAACACGUGGAUAACCUACCUAUAAGACUGGGAUAACUUCGGGAAACCGGAGCUAAUACCGGAUAAUAUAUUGAACCGCAUGGUUCAAUAGUGAAAGACGGUUUUGCUGUCACUUAUAGAUGGAUCCGCGCCGCAUUAGCUAGUUGGUAAGGUAACGGCUUACCAAGGCAACGAUGCGUAGCCGACCUGAGAGGGUGAUCGGCCACACUGGAACUGAGACACGGUCCAGACUCAGACGGGAGGCAGCAGUAGGGAAUCUUCCGCAAUGGGCGAAAGCCUGACGGAGCAACGCCGCGUGAGUGAUGAAGGUCUUCGGAUCGUAAAACUCUGUUAUUAGGGAAGAACAAAUGUGUAAGUAACUAUGCACGUCUUGACGGUACCUAAUCAGAAAGCCACGGCUAACUACGU
This 496-nucleotide ribosomal RNA is filed under the name uncultured bacterium. RNAcentral describes it as "partial 16S ribosomal RNA". It matches the Rfam family "Bacterial small subunit ribosomal RNA", at positions 28 to 506 of the family's 1533-position model. The record is from RNAcentral.